ACGGGUGAGUAAUGUAUCGGAACGUGCCCAAUCGUGGGGGAUAACGUAGAGAAAUUUACGCUAAUACCGCAUACGAUCUAAGGAUGAAAGCGGGGGAUCGCAAGACCUCGCGCGAUUGGAGCGGCUGAUAUCAGAUUAGGUUGUUGGUGAGGUAAAAGCUCACCAAGCCGACGAUCUGUAGCUGGUUUGAGAGAACGACCAGCCACACUGGGACUGAGACACGGCCCAGACUCCUACGGGAGGCAGCAGUGGGGAAUUUUGGACAAUGGGCGCAAGCCUGAUCCAGCAAUGCCGCGUGCAGGAAGAAGGCCUUCGGGUUGUAAACUGCUUUUGUACGGAACGAAACGGCUCUUUCUAAUAAAGAGGGCUAAUGACGGUACCGUAAGAAUAAGCACCGGCUAACUACGUGCCAGCAGCCGCGGUAAUACGUAGGGUGCGAGCGUUAAUCGGAAUUACUGGGCGUAAAGCGUGCGCAGGCGGUUAUGUAAGACAGUUGUGAAAUCCCCGGGCUCAACCUGGGAAUUGCAUCUGUGACUGCAUAGCUAGAGUACGGUAGAGGGGGAUGGAAUUCCGCGUGUAGCAGUGAAAUGC
This 591-nucleotide ribosomal RNA is filed under the name uncultured bacterium. RNAcentral's name for it is "bacterial SSU rRNA". It matches the Rfam family "Bacterial small subunit ribosomal RNA", at positions 102 to 689 of the family's 1533-position model. The record is from RNAcentral.